AGAGAGAGACAUGCGCGCAUAUCAAUAAGCGGAGGAAAAGAAACUAACAAGGAUUCCCUUAGUAACGGCGAGUGAAGCGGGAAGAGCUCAAAUUUGAAAUCUUCAAGGUUUUACCUUGACGAAUUGUAGUUUAAAGAAGUGUUUUCUGCUGAAGUUUUGGUAAAAGUUCUUUGGAAUAGGACAUCAUAGAGGGUGAGAAUCCCGUAUUUGACCAUUAUUUUCAGCUUUGUGAUACACUUUCAAAGAGUCGGAUUGUUUGGGAAUGCAGUCCAAAAUGGGUGGUAAAUUUCAUCUAAAGCUAAAUAUUGGCGAGAGACCGAUAGCGAACAAGUACCGUGAGGGAAAGAUGAAAAGAACUUUGAAAAGAGAGUUAAACAGUACGUGAAAUUGUCAAAAGGGAAGCGUUUGACACCAUGUGUUGUUUUCUCGAAAAUCAAUUAAAAAUGGCUCGAUUUUGUAUUGUUGAGACCUUAAAAGCUCACUGUACAUUUUUCGUGUCUUUUUUAAUGCACUUUUCGUUUAACAAGUCAACAUCAGUUUCUUUUGUUGUAAAAGGGUCAUUGGAAGGUGGCUUUCUUUUCGGAGAAAGUGUUUAUAGCCUUUGGCCUCUGCAAUCGGAGAGACUGAGGUCUGCAGCGUAGACUCUUCGGGGUUAGAUACAUUUGUGCUAAGUUAUAGCUUUUUAUAGACAACUUGUUGACUAUAAUUAGUCUUGUAGCUUACUCGCUUAUGCUAUUUUACCUACGCUUAGGAUGUUGAGUCGUAGAGCACGCAG
RNAcentral lists this ribosomal RNA (775 nucleotides) under uncultured Neocallimastigales. RNAcentral describes it as "partial large subunit ribosomal RNA". It matches the Rfam family "Eukaryotic large subunit ribosomal RNA", at positions 23 to 634 of the family's 3401-position model. Lineage: Eukaryota; Fungi; Neocallimastigomycota; Neocallimastigomycetes; Neocallimastigales. The record is from RNAcentral.